RNAcentral lists this unclassified non-coding RNA (307 nucleotides) under uncultured fungus. Its description in RNAcentral is "sequence contains 18S rRNA gene, ITS1, 5.8S rRNA gene". The stretch from base 1 to 52 matches the Rfam family "Eukaryotic small subunit ribosomal RNA", at positions 1780 to 1831 of the family's 1831-position model. The record is from RNAcentral. Lineage: Eukaryota; Fungi.
AAGUAAAAGUCGUAACAAGGUUUCCGUAGGUGAACCUGCGGAAGGAUCAUUAAAAGAAUUAUCUCGUAGAGAUUAUUUCUAUUUGUGAUUUAAGCGAAAACAAUAUGAAUUUGGGGGGGGAUUAAACAAUGGGGCCUUUUCUAUGCGAGAGCAAAUGGAAGGAACCGGCCCCCCCCCCCAAUUCAAUGCCAAAAAUAUCCAUCUUUUUUUCAAUUUGACUGAUACAAUUUAUUUAUAUUUAUGGAUAAUUCAUAAAAUAACUUUCAACAACGGAUCUCUUGGUUCUCGCAUCGAUGAAGAACGCAGC